This 291-nucleotide signal recognition particle RNA is filed under the name Cervus hanglu yarkandensis (Yarkand deer). RNAcentral's name for it is "Metazoan signal recognition particle RNA (ENSCHYG00000017833.1)". It matches the Rfam family "Metazoan signal recognition particle RNA". From Rfam's summary of the family: The signal recognition particle (SRP) is a universally conserved ribonucleoprotein. Lineage: Eukaryota; Metazoa; Chordata; Mammalia; Artiodactyla; Cervidae. The record is from RNAcentral.
GCCGGGUGCGGUGGUGCGGGCCUGUAGUCCCAGCUACUCGGGAGGCUGAGGCUGGAGGAUCGCUUGAGCUCAGGAGCUCUGGGCUGCAGUGCGCUAUGCCGAUCGGGUGUCCUCACUAAGUUCGUCAUCAAUAUGGUGACCUCCCGGGAGCGGGGGACCACCAGGUUGCCUAAGGAGGGGUGAACUGGCCCAGGUCGGAAACGGAGCAGGUCAAAACUCCCGUGCUGAUCAGAAAUCUGCAUUUUACUGUGUGCCUCAGAUGACAUGGUUUAAUGUAGUCUUCAGAGUUAA